RNAcentral lists this ribosomal RNA (507 nucleotides) under uncultured bacterium. RNAcentral describes it as "partial 16S ribosomal RNA". It matches the Rfam family "Bacterial small subunit ribosomal RNA", at positions 899 to 1397 of the family's 1533-position model. The record is from RNAcentral.
ACUCAAAUGAAUAGACGGGGGCUCACACAAGCGGUGGAGCAUGUUGCUUAAUUCGAAGCAACGCGAAGAACCUUAUCCUGGGCUUGACAUGCACGGAUUAGUUUCAUGAAAGUGGAAUGACACCCGCAAGGGUGGAACGUGCACAGGUGCUGCAUGGCUGUCGUCAGCUCGUGCUGUGAAGUGUCGGGUUAAGUCCCUCAACGAGCGCAACCCCUGUUGCUAGUUGCCAGCGCGUCAUGGCGGGAACUCUAGCGAGACUGCCGGUGUCAAACCGGAGGAAGGUGGGGAUGACGUCAAGUCCUCAUGGCCUUUAUGCCCAGGGCUGCAAACGUGCUACAAUGGCGUGAACAAAGCGACGCGAGGCCGCGAGGCGGAGCAAAUCGCAGAAAACACGCCCCAGUUCGGAUUGCAGGCUGCAAUUCGCCUGCAUGAAGCCGGAAUCGCUAGUAAUCGCGGAUCAGCCACGCCGCGGUGAAUGUGUUCCUGAGCCUUGUACACACCGCCCGU